RNAcentral lists this ribosomal RNA (441 nucleotides) under uncultured bacterium. RNAcentral describes it as "partial 16S ribosomal RNA". It matches the Rfam family "Bacterial small subunit ribosomal RNA", at positions 338 to 795 of the family's 1533-position model. The record is from RNAcentral.
CCUACGGGUGGCAGCAGUCGGGAAUAUUUCGCAAUGGCGGAAACUCUGACCCAGUGACGCCGCGUGCAGGAAGAAGGUUUUCUGAUUGUAAACUGCUUUAGACAGGGAAGAAAAAAGACAGUACCUUUAGAAUAAGCUCCGGCUAACUACGUGCCAGCAGCCGCGGUAAUACGUAGUGAGCAAGCGUUAUCCGGAUUUAUUGGGUGUAAAGGGUGCGUAGGCGGGAAAACAAGUUAGUUGUGAAAUCCCUCAGCUUAACUGAGGAACUGCAACUAAAACUAUUUUUCUUGAGUGCUGGAGAGGAAAGUGGAAUUCCUGGUGUAGCGGUGAAAUGCGUAGAUAUUAGGAGGAACACCAGUGGCGAAGGCGACUUUCUGGACAGUAACUGACGUUGAGGCACGAAAGUGUGGGGAGCAAACAGGAUUAGAUACCCUUGUAGUC